UACCCAAUAUAUGGAUUGGACUAGUCACAUGAUUUCAAACUCAUUUGUGUAGACACAGUGUCAUCAACUCUUGAAUCAAUCAGAAGGGUUAACAUUUUAAUCAGUUCCUUUAAUCAACUCUGUCCUGCAGAACUAUCAGUAGAAACGUCCACAUAUUUAACUUUACAAAAACAUAUUUUAAAGAUGAUGUUUCUCAUAGUUAAUGUCAUUAAGAUGAAGGUGAUGGAAAAUCUCUGGGCCCUGUAAUCCAGGAUUGCUUCCUCUCUUACUCUGUGCAAUUUUUCUCAACUUUAUACAUCUUUUCCAUAUAUCCAUAGAUGUUAUAGACAACAUGUACUCGUGCCUAGAUGGAGGAUGAAGGAUCUGAAUAAUGUUACAAUCACCACCUAAAUGAUCUUUGGAUCUUUCUAGGGCCUAUUUGUUUCCUGUAAAAAAUACACUCACAUUUGGUGAACAGAGCUCUGAAACAGAAGGAACAGAACCUGGAAUCCUUCUGGUGACACCUGGAGCUACAAGAACACCUGUGAUGUAAUUCUAACAAUCCUCUGGACUCCAAUUUCAAUGCCUUCUCCCCUUCCCCAGAAACUUCUGUGCCUCUGCUACCAAGUGGACAACAGGAAGAACAGAAUGUAUUUUGUAGAAAUCCCAGGGAAUGGAAAUAAUCCCAAAUCCACUGUCGACAUUCCCCAAAGCUAAUUGCUAUGAGGGCAAUGAAAUAUUGAAUGGCUGAUAGAAAAAUUUAGCCUGUGGAUCUUUUGGACAGUCAAGAUUUCUUAUAAAAAUUGAAGAACCAUUGUCUACUGAAAUGGCAUUUUCUUACUCUGGCUGUGGAGAUAUGGUUCAUCUUUAAUAGGUAAGAUUCGUGUAUACUUUCAUCUGCCUGGGAUGUUUUUAGUAUGGC
This 901-nucleotide long non-coding RNA is filed under the name Bos grunniens (domestic yak). Its description in RNAcentral is "lncRNA (ENSBGRG00000026500.1)". The record is from RNAcentral. Lineage: Eukaryota; Metazoa; Chordata; Mammalia; Artiodactyla; Bovidae.